This 2966-nucleotide ribosomal RNA is filed under the name Aggregatibacter actinomycetemcomitans NUM4039. Its description in RNAcentral is "bacterial LSU rRNA". It matches the Rfam family "Bacterial large subunit ribosomal RNA". Lineage: Bacteria; Pseudomonadati; Pseudomonadota; Gammaproteobacteria; Pasteurellales; Pasteurellaceae. The record is from RNAcentral.
UGAGAGGGCAAGAAUACUUGAGGUUGUAUGGUUAAGAGACAAAGCGUACAAGGUGGAUGCCUUGGCAAUCAGAGGCGAAGAAGGACGUGCUAAUCUGCGAAAAGCUCGGAUGAGUCGAUAAGAGGCGUUUAAUCCGAGAUAUCCGAAUGGGGAAACCCGGUGGGUGAAGAACCCACUAUCAUUAUCUGAAUCCAUAGGGUAAUGAGGCGAACCGGGGGAACUGAAACAUCUAAGUACCCCGAGGAAAAGAAAUCAACCGAGAUUUUGUGAGUAGCGGCGAGCGAAAGCGAAAGAGCCUGUUAGUGAUAGCGACAGAGACAGAGGAAUGUGCUGGGAAGCACAGCGAGACAGGGUGAUAGCCCCGUACUCGAAGUCUGGGUCGUGGUACUAAGCUAACGAGAAGUAGGGCGGGACACGUGAUAUCCUGUUUGAAGAAGGGGGGCCCAUCCUCCAAGGCUAAAUACUCCUGAUUGACCGAUAGUGAAGCAGUACUGUGAAGGAAAGGCGAAAAGAACCGGGGUGACCGGAGUGAAAUAGAACCUGAAACCUUGUACGUACAAGCAGUGGGAGCCUGAAAGGGUGACUGCGUACCUUUUGUAUAAUGGGUCAGCGAGUUAUAUUUUGUAGCGAGGUUAACCGGAUAGGGGAGCCGAAGGGAAACCGAGUCUUAACUGGGCGCUUAGUUGCAAGGUAUAGACCCGAAACCCGGUGAUCUAGCCAUGGGCAGGUUGAAGGUUGGGUAACACUAACUGGAGGACCGAACCGACUAAUGUUGAAAAAUUAGCGGAUGACUUGUGGCUGGGGGUGAAAGGCCAAUCAAACCUGGAGAUAGCUGGUUCUCCCCGAAAUCUAUUUAGGUAGAGCCUUGAGCGGACACCUUUGGGGGUAGAGCACUGUUUCGGCUAGGGGGCCAUCCCGGCUUACCAACCCGAUGCAAACUACGAAUACCGAAGAGUGAUACUCAGGAGACACACGGCGGGUGCUAACGUCCGUCGUGGAGAGGGAAACAACCCAGACCGCCGGCUAAGGUCCCAAAGUACUAAUUAAGUGGGAAACGAAGUGGGAAGGCUUAGACAGCUAGGAUGUUGGCUUAGAAGCAGCCAUCAUUUAAAGAAAGCGUAAUAGCUCACUAGUCGAGUCGGCCUGCGCGGAAGAUGUAACGGGGCUAAAAUUAGUCACCGAAGCUGCGGCAUCAGGCGUAUCACUAAUACGCCUUACGAUUAACAACUUGCGAAACGAAGAGAAGCAAGUUGGUCAAGCGCCAAACACGUUGAGACGGAAGUCAUGACGGGAAGUGCGGUUGGGAAUUGAGGAAUAUUAGUGAUACGCCUGUUGGGUAGGGGAGCGUUGUGUAAGCGGAAGAAGGUGUAUUGAGAGGUAUGCUGGACGUAUCACAAGUGCGAAUGCUGACAUAAGUAACGAUAAAACGGGUGAAAAACCCGUUCGCCGGAAGACCAAGGGUUCCUGUCCAACGUUAAUCGGGGCAGGGUGAGUCGGCCCCUAAGGCGAGGCUGAAAAGCGUAGUCGAUGGGAAACGGGUUAAUAUUCCCGUACUUGGUAAAGCUGCGAUGUGGGGACGGAGCAGGUUAGGUUAGCGUGCUGUUGGAUAUGCACGUUUAAGUUGGUAGGUGGGGAGCUUAGGCAAAUCCGGGUUCCUGUUAACACUGAGAGAUGAUGACGAGGCCUUAAGGGGCUGAAGUAACUGAUACCAUACUUCCAGGAAAAGCCACUAAGCGAAAGGCUUUACUAAACCGUACUGAAAACCGACACAGGUGGUCAGGUAGAGAAUACUCAGGCGCUUGAGAGAACUCGGGUGAAGGAACUAGGCAAAAUAGCACCGUAACUUCGGGAGAAGGUGCGCCGGCGUAGAUUGUAAGGGCUUGCCCCUGAAGGUUGAACCGGUCGAAGAUACCAGCUGGCUGCAACUGUUUAUUCGGUGCUGGAAGGUUAAUUGAUGGUGUAAUCGCAAGAGAAGCACCUGAUCGAAGCCCCAGUAAACGGCGGCCGUAACUAUAACGGUCCUAAGGUAGCGAAAUUCCUUGUCGGGUAAGUUCCGACCUGCACGAAUGGCAUAAUGAUGGCCAGGCUGUCUCCACCCGAGACUCAGUGAAAUUGAAAUCGCCGUGAAGAUGCGGUGUACCCGCGGCUAGACGGAAAGACCCCGUGAACCUUUACUAUAGCUUGACACUGAACAUUGAAUUUUGAUGUGUAGGAUAGGUGGGAGACUGAGAAGCGAGCACGCUAGUGCUUGUGGAGUCGACGUUGAAAUACCACCCUUUAACGUUUGAUGUUCUAACGAGGCAUCGAUUACAGGUGUUCGGACAGUGUCUGGUGGGUAGUUUGACUGGGGCGGUCUCCUCCCAAAGGAUAACGGAGGAGCACGAAGGUUUGCUAAUCACGGUCGGACAUCGUGAGGUUAGUGCAAUGGUAUAAGCAAGCUUAACUGCGAGACGGACAGGUCGGGCAGGUACGAAAGUAGGUCAUAGUGAUCCGGUGGUUCUGCAUGGAAGGGCCAUCGCUCAACGGAUAAAAGGUACUCCGGGGAUAACAGGCUGAUACCGCCCAAGAGUUCAUAUCGACGGCGGUGUUUGGCACCUCGAUGUCGGCUCAUCACAUCCUGGGGCUGAAGUAGGUCCCAAGGGUAUGGCUGUUCGCCAUUUAAAGUGGUACGCGAGCUGGGUUUAGAACGUCGUGAGACAGUUCGGUCCCUAUCUGCCGUGGGCGUAGGAGAAUUGAUUGGGGCUGCUCCUAGUACGAGAGGACCGGAGUGGACGCACCGCUGGUGUUCCGGUUGUGUCGCCAGACGCAUAGCCGGGUAGCUAAGUGCGGGAGAGAUAAGUGCUGAAAGCAUCUAAGCACGAAACUUGCCAAGAGAUGAGUUCUCCCAGACUUUAGGUCUGUAAGGGUUGUUUAAGACGAAGACGUGGAUAGGCGUGGUGUGUAAGCGUAGUGAUAUGUUGAGCUAA